UGGGGAAUAUUGGACAAUGGGGGAAACCCUGAUCCAGCAAUGCCGCGUGAGUGAAGAAGGCCUUAGGGUUGUAAAGCUCUUUCGCCCGCGAAGAUAAUGACGGUAGCGGGAGAAGAAGCCCCGGCUAACUCCGUGCCAGCAGCCGCGGUAAUACGGAGGGGGCUAGCGUUGUUCGGAAUUACUGGGCGUAAAGCGUACGCAGGCGGAUGCGCAAGUUGGGGGUGAAAUCCCGGGGCUUAACCUCGGAAUUGCCCUCAAAACUGCACGUCUUGAGACCGAGAGAGGUAAGGGGAAUUCCUAGUGUAGAGGUGAAAUUCGUAGAUAUUAGGAAGAACACCAGUGGCGAAGGCGCCUUACUGGCUCGGUACUGACGCUGAGGUACGAAAGCGUGGGGAGCAAACA
This 402-nucleotide ribosomal RNA is filed under the name uncultured bacterium. RNAcentral describes it as "bacterial SSU rRNA". It matches the Rfam family "Bacterial small subunit ribosomal RNA", at positions 355 to 774 of the family's 1533-position model. The record is from RNAcentral.